GGAAGGAUCAUUAACACUAAUCCAAUUCACCUUAACCUAGCCUUCAGUGCAGUAUCAGUGCUAGCUUCGGCAGGCCUCUUACUGCUCUAUAAACCUAAUCUAAAGAAGCUUAACUAAGCUCAACCACUAAAACCAAAUUCUCAACGAUGGAUAUCUUGGUUCCCAUAACGAUGAAGAACGCAGCGAAGUGCGAUAAGCAAUGCGAAUUGCAGAACCGUGAGUCAUCAGAUCUUUGAACGCAACUGGCGCUAGGUGGCUAUCCACCUAGCAUGCUUGUUUCAGUGUCUCAUUUUCUCCUAACCAAAAUCUUAAUGCUUGAGAUACCCUUCUCUUGCUAAGUACGAAAGCACUCUGAGCCCUGCAGGUGAUUUGGCUUCGGCCAAGGUCACACUCAAUGCAGCAGUCACAUUUCUAAUGUGAACUCAUUGAGAGUAGAGUCAGCGCAGCUUGUCUGCAAGUGCUUAGGCCCUCAAACUCUUCUAGCAUCUGAAAUCAAGCAGGAUCACCCGCUGAACUUAAGCAUAUCACUAAGCGGAGGAAAAGAAAUUAACUAAGAUUGCCCCAGUAACGGCGAGUGAAGCGGCAAAAGGCCAAACUGUAAAUCUCUGUGUUUCACACAGCGAAUUGUAAUCUAAAGGAGGGAAGCUCACCUAGAGUUGACGCAGAAGUGUCUUAGAACGGACCGCCAGAGAGGGUGACAGCCCCGUAUGUGGUGUCGACUCUUAACGAGCUCCUUUCAAAGAGUCGGGUUGUUUUGAAUUGCAGCCCUAAGCUGGGGGAUAGACUUCCUCUAAGCCUAAAUAUUUAUGGGAAACCGAUAGCGAACAAGUACUGUGAAGGAAAGAUGAAAAGAACUUUGAAAAGAGAGUUAAAAGAUUUGAAAUCGUUGAGACGGAAGCGGUAGAAAUUUAUCCUACUGGUAGGAACAAAGGCUUGGUCCUAACCAUUGGCGUGUGCCAGCACUUAACCGGCUGCUAGCGCCACGUGGGGAAGACCUUGCUGGGUUCCUACUGUGAGGCAAAAUGAGGUCUGGCUGCUCCAAAAACUUGGUAGAGACCGCUUGUUUACAGGCACUCUACCUUUGUUGGGAGCCGCCAGGCCUGAGGAAGCUUAUGCGAUUUUGCCAAAAUGGUUUUUACCGACCCGUCUUGAAACACGGACCAAGGAGUCUAACAAAUAUGCGAGUAUGCUGGUACAAAAACCAUCAUGCGAAAUUAACGUGAUUGAUGCCAAGCUCCCUGCAGCAUCAACCGACCAUGAUCCUCUGGUGAAAGGUUUGAGUAUGAGCAUAUCUGUUAGGACCCGAAAGAUGGUGAACUAUGCCUGGGUAGGGUGAAGUCAGGGGAAACUCUGAUGGAGGCUCGUAGCGGUUCUGACGUGCAAAUCGAUCGUCAAACUUGGGUAUAGGGGCGAAAGACUAAUCGAACCAUCUAGUAGCUGGUUCCCUC
Molecule: unclassified non-coding RNA, 1448 nt
Filed under: uncultured fungus
Lineage: Eukaryota; Fungi
Description: sequence contains 18S rRNA gene, ITS1, 5.8S rRNA gene, ITS2, 28S rRNA gene
Rfam family: Eukaryotic large subunit ribosomal RNA (bases 483-1448)
Source: RNAcentral